GAGGAAUAUUGGUCAAUGGGCGCAAGCCUGAACCAGCCAAUCCGCGUGCAGGAAGACGGCCCUAUGGGUUGUAAACUGCUUUUAUACGGGAAUAAGGAGACGUACGUGUUGCGUUUUUUGCAUGUACUGUAUGAAUAAGCAUCGGCUAACUCCGUGCCAGCAGCCGCGGUAAUACGGAGGAUGCAGGCGUUAUCCGGAUUUAUUAGGUUUAAAGGGUGCGUAGGCGGCUUGAUAAGUCAGGGGUGAAAUCUACCAGCUUAACUGGUAGUUUGCCUUUGAUACUGUUGAGCUAGAGUACGAACGAGGUAGGCGGAAUGUGCAGUGUAGCGGUGAAAUGCUUAGAUAUUGCACAGAACACCGAUUGCGGAGGCAGCUUACUAGGCCGUUACUGACGCUGAUGCACGAAAGCGUGGGGAUCAAAC
This 422-nucleotide ribosomal RNA is filed under the name uncultured bacterium. RNAcentral describes it as "bacterial SSU rRNA". It matches the Rfam family "Bacterial small subunit ribosomal RNA", at positions 356 to 773 of the family's 1533-position model. The record is from RNAcentral.